RNAcentral lists this ribosomal RNA (480 nucleotides) under Triticum aestivum (bread wheat). RNAcentral's name for it is "partial small subunit ribosomal RNA". Lineage: Eukaryota; Viridiplantae; Streptophyta; Magnoliopsida; Poales; Poaceae. The record is from RNAcentral.
AUGCUGAAGCACUUGGAUCUCAAAGACGACGAGCUGGACGACGUGAUCGUGGGGGAAGAGGAAACGAAGAAGUACGCGGCAGAUGCGCGCUGGCUAGCAAUUGGGAAGGUCAACACGACUCGAUAGUUCAGUUCAUCGUCGAUGUUCGAGACGAUGAAAUCGAUCUGGGGAUUAUCUCAAGUGCCAAAGUACAGAGAAGCGGGAGAAAAUCUUUACAUCUUCCAGAUGUUCUGCCUAGGAGAUUGGAAAAAAGUAGUUCAUGGAGGACCCUGGUUGUUUCGGGGGAUGGGUAUGCUCAUCGAGGAUUAUGAUGGAAAGCAGGAUCCUGAAUCUUUCGUCUUUGAUGGCCUGUACGUUUGGGCGCAGAUCCACGGCAUACCUGAACUGUACCGCAAGAUAGAAGUGGUUGAUCAAUUAGCCCGGCGUAUUGGCCGAGUUAAGGAAACACAACUCUCACCUAGGCUUUUCUACGAAGGUGAC